GGAUGAGAUCAUACCAGCACUAAAGCACCGGAUCCCAUCAGAACUUUGAAGUUAAGCAUGCUUGGGCGAGAGUAGUACUAGGAUGGGUGACCUCCUGGGAAGUCCUCGUGUUGCAUUCC
Molecule: ribosomal RNA, 119 nt
Filed under: Triticum aestivum (bread wheat)
Lineage: Eukaryota; Viridiplantae; Streptophyta; Magnoliopsida; Poales; Poaceae
Also listed under: 1 other name
Source: RNAcentral